AACGAACGCUGGCGGCAUGCCUAACACAUGCAAGUCGAACGAGACCUUCGGGUCUAGUGGCGCACGGGUGCGUAACGCGUGGGAACCUGCCCUUAGGUUCGGAAUAACUCCCCGAAAGGGGUGCUAAUACCGGAUAAUGUCUUCGGACCAAAGAUUUAUCGCCUUUGGAUGGGCCCGCGUUGGAUUAGCUAGUUGGUAGGGUAAAAGCCUACCAAGGCGACGAUCCAUAGCUGGUCUGAGAGGAUGAUCAGCCACACUGGGACUGAGACACGGCCCAGACUCCUCGGGAAGCAGCAGUGGGGAAUAUUGGACAAUGGGCGAAAGCCUGAUCCAGCAAUGCCGCGUGAGUGAUGAAGGCCUUAGGGUUGUAAAGCUCUUUUACCCGGGAUGAUAAUGACAGUACCGGGAGAAUAAGCUCCGGCUAACUCCGUG
RNAcentral lists this ribosomal RNA (432 nucleotides) under uncultured bacterium. Its description in RNAcentral is "partial 16S ribosomal RNA". It matches the Rfam family "Bacterial small subunit ribosomal RNA", at positions 29 to 507 of the family's 1533-position model. The record is from RNAcentral.